RNAcentral lists this ribosomal RNA (472 nucleotides) under uncultured bacterium. RNAcentral's name for it is "bacterial SSU rRNA". It matches the Rfam family "Bacterial small subunit ribosomal RNA", at positions 335 to 792 of the family's 1533-position model. The record is from RNAcentral.
ACUCCUACGGGAGGCAGCAGUGGGGAAUAUUGCACAAUGGGGGAAACCCUGAUGCAGCCAUGCCGCGUGUGUGAAGAAGGCCUUCGGGUUGUAAAGCACUUUCAGUAGGGAGGAAGGUAGUGUAGUUAACACCUGCAUUAUUUGACGUUACCUACAGAAGAAGCACCGGCUAACUCCGUGCCAGCAGCCGCGGUAAUACGGAGGGUGCGAGCGUUAAUCGGAAUUACUGGGCGUAAAGCGCAUGCAGGCGGCCUGUUAAGUCAGAUGUGAAAGCCCGGGGGCUUAAACCUCGGAAUUGCAUUUGAAACUGGCAGGCUAGAGUCUUGGUAGAGGGGGGUUAGAAUUUCAGGUGUAGCGGUGAAAUGGCGUAGAGAUCUGAAGGAAUACCAGUGGCGAAGGCGGCCCCCUGGACAAAGACUGACGCUCAGAUGCGAAAGCGUGGGGAGCAAAACGAGGAUUAGAUACCCUGGUA